ACCAAUCAAAUUACUCAGUUUAAGCCUCAGCUGGGUGGUACUUGUACUAACUUUUUUUCAGUAUGCCCUGAAGCAGGACACAAAGAUCAGGGUCAUUUGACUUUCUCUCUUUACAGACCUUUGUUCUCCCAGCUGUUAACUAUUGUUAGUGCAUUGGUGAGGCUCAGGUGAUGAAAUAACUUCUGUAUUACAGCGCUCAAGCGUGUAUAGAGGAUUCAUGUGGAGUAGUAAGUGAAAUAUGUGGUUUGGAUUUUUAAUAAGCUCUGUCUUCUCCAUGUGGGAAUGGCACUUGUAUUUGAAAUCUCCUGACAUGAUAACUAACGAGCUUAUCAUUCAUUCUUGAGGAGACAGAGGCGUAAUGAGGAAUUGACAUCAAGAAAAACAAAGUAAAACAUGAUUUAAUCUGAAUACUGAAAAUCUGUGCAUCUAAAUGCAAAUACAACUGUAGGCUGUGCAGGAGUUCUGUAUGCAUUUAAUAUUAACAUGAGUGACAGGAGCAAGAUGAAUAGAAGCUAAGGAUGUGUAACGAGUUCAUCCUGAAGUUGAAAGCAUAUGCUAUUUUGUAUUCAUUACUGCUGUUCACUGUAAUAGCUAUAUAAAACUAGUACGUGCACUGUAACACCUGCACAACUGUGACUUUAUUUUGCUGCAUAGGCAUAUACAGGGUGGUAACUUCAUUAUUACAGUUCAUCCCCAUUUUGGACUGAGAUGUUGAGUGGUUCUCGGACACCUGGCCAGCUGUCUGGAGGAGAUAAACCAACCCAUUUAGCAGCUCUUGCAUUACUCUUUGCACCAGAGCUGAAGCCUGUAAUUCUUUACAUAUUUUGUAAUCAGAUUCAGAGGCCAAUACACUCUCACAGGAGUCAACACAGCAACAGUUUCUCCAAGCUUGCUGUCGCUUCACUGUUAGUCCAUAAAAUGCGUUAUUACAGCAUGUUAAAUAAUGCUGAGCCAGUUGAAAAAAUGGCGAGGAUUUUGCCUGGAUAUGAGGAAUAUACUAUUUGAGAGCUGCGUGCACAGUGGAGAAAAGACAGGUUGUACUGACAGUCAUUUAGGUCAGAUUACUCCGUAUGAUGCAAGCACUGCCAUCUUGUGGAUUAUCUGAGGACGUGGAGAGUUCUGAGUUAUUUAAUAAACGUAGAACUUUGUAAAAUGAUGUGAAAAUUUCUAAAUGUAUUUACUUAAGAAAUGUAAAAAAUUCCAAAAUAAUGCUUGCAAGAAGUAAAUUUUAGUAUUGUUACAUUCAAGGAACACGUGUGAACAGAACUUUAUUUCUGAGACUAGUGGAUGAAAUGUUUGUUAGUUCUUUAGUUGAUUGUGUGUUUUCAUCAUGUUAUAAAGCUUGGUUUCUUCUUCCUCUUGUUGCUUUUUGUAAGCAAAGGAACAUGUUUUCUGCCUAGCGCAUUUAAAAAUAAAGA
Molecule: non-coding RNA, 1418 nt
Organism: Meleagris gallopavo (turkey)
Lineage: Eukaryota; Metazoa; Chordata; Aves; Galliformes; Phasianidae
Source: RefSeq, a predicted model, not a curated record